GCCUUGAUGGUGAUGAAAUGGUUAGACACGCGAGACUCAAAAUCUCGUGCUGAAGAGCGUGGAGGUUCGAGUCCUCUUCAAGGCA
Molecule: transfer RNA, 85 nt
Filed under: Hordeum vulgare
Lineage: Eukaryota; Viridiplantae; Streptophyta; Magnoliopsida; Poales; Poaceae
Description: tRNA-Leu
Rfam family: tRNA
About the family: Transfer RNA (tRNA) molecules are approximately 80 nucleotides in length.
Source: RNAcentral